AUUGAACGCUGGCGGCAGGCCUAACACAUGCAAGUCGAGCGGAUGAGAAGAGCUUGCUCUUCGAUUCAGCGGCGGACGGGUGAGUAAUGCCUAGGAAUCUGCCUGGUAGUGGGGGACAACGUUUCGAAAGGAACGCUAAUACCGCAUACGUCCUACGGGAGAAAGCAGGGGACCUUCGGGCCUUGCGCUAUCAGAUGAGCCUAGGUCGGAUUAGCUAGUUGGUGAGGUAAUGGCUCACCAAGGCUACGAUCCGUAACUGGUCUGAGAGGAUGAUCAGUCACACUGGAACUGAGACACGGUCCAGACUCCUACGGGAGGCAGCAGUGGGGAAUAUUGGACAAUGGGCGAAAGCCUGAUCCAGCCAUGCCGCGUGUGUGAAGAAGGUCUUCGGAUUGUAAAGCUCUUUUGUCAGGGAAGAAACGGUGAGUUCUAAUACAGCUUGCUAAUGACGGUACCUGAAGAAUAAGCACCGG
This 473-nucleotide ribosomal RNA is filed under the name uncultured bacterium. RNAcentral's name for it is "bacterial SSU rRNA". It matches the Rfam family "Bacterial small subunit ribosomal RNA", at positions 30 to 496 of the family's 1533-position model. The record is from RNAcentral.